CUCUCCGCCCCAGCGUGCCUGGCGCGGCGCCUCCGGGCAGCCAGCGGAGUUUCGCGGGCCCGCCCGUAGCCUGUACCGACUGUGCUGCCGGGCGCCGCUCCCUCACUCCCCCGGCCGUGGGAUCGCGGAGAGAAUCGGAAGGGUAAAGCCAGGAGCCCUAGUCUGACUGGAUUUGGGUUUCAUCUUUACAUUUCUCUGGGAUUUGUCCAGUCCAGGCCUGUGAGAACCAGCUCAUCAGGAGUUUUUAGAUACAAGCUACAUAGCAAGGAACCUGCCUGUUGAACCAACCCAUACGUGACAAAAAUUGAAGCCAGCAGGAACAAAAUUACAAAUUCUGUUGUUUUUUUCUUUUAUUAAUGUAAUUACCAGAAAUUCCCUUCUUAUUUGUUUAUCCAAUA
Molecule: long non-coding RNA, 398 nt
Organism: Parus major (Great Tit)
Lineage: Eukaryota; Metazoa; Chordata; Aves; Passeriformes; Paridae
Exons: 2
Source: RefSeq, a predicted model, not a curated record